UCUCAGCCAUCGGAGUAACUAGGAUUAUAGGUGUGCACCAACCACCUGGCGUGUUGUUUUAAACCACUAAAGUUUAGGUUGUUUGUUAGCCAGAUAUACUAACAAAAAUGAUAUGGAGAGGAGACAGGGAAAUACUGGGUAGAAGAGGGUGGUUCCCUGGCAAAGGCCCCACCCUCAAGCCUGGAUAACUGUGGCUCUAAGUGAGAACAGGCAUUCCUGUUUUCAUGCCCCCAAAGUUGCCUUUUGGCCUGCCAUGCCCCCAUCGUGUACCCAUAUAAAACCCUUAACUCCAGGCUCCAGGAGCAGACAAGGAGAUGAGGGGAUGAAUAGAUGAAUGGCAGAAUGGUGAGGCAGAGAAGGAGAGAAAAGAAGGAAUGUUGGGAGGAAUUUGGCUGGGGAUGGUCAGAGAAUAGGCCACUGGAUGGCCAAACUCCAGGGGAAGAUAUUCUUCCCACUUCAUCCCCUGUCCAGUUUCCCAUCGAUCCUGCUGAGAGCCACCUCCACCACUCAAUAAAAUCUCCAUAUUUAUCCUUCAAGUCUAUGUGUGACCUGAUUCUUCUGGGAUGCUGCACAAGAGCUCAUGAUACAGAAAACUGUCAUACUGGACCCUUCCCUUUACAAAAAGGCAGAGGGUCCAAUGAGUUGGUUAACCCUUGGGCCAUCCGGAGACAGUAAGGCUAAAAGGGUGCACUGUAACACGUGCCCACUUGGGCUUUGGGAGUAGCAGACACCUACCCCUAUAGGCUGCUGUGGGGCCAGAGCCCCAAAGCACUUGCCCUGCUUCUUGCACCUGCCCAUCUGCAUGCUCUCCCUUCUGUAAGGGGUUUGAGCUUGUGGUAGCCGAACAGACAGUCACAUCCCUGUCACAUGUCCUGUGAGGGGUUGGGGGCAGGGAACUCUCUCCCUUCAAAAACAGCCUGGAACUUCCCACUUUGGGCUGCCUAGAACCAUAGUAUCAUCUUCCCAGAUCUUGCAUACUCUUGGGGCAGACUAGAGGUAAUGAAAAGAUGCCUCCUACACGCCUCCCCAAACCUGCAUCUCCACUUUUCACAUCUCCUGACUUUUCUGCAGUUAAGCAUUUAUAGUGGGUAGGCAUUUCUUUAGGAAGAUUAUGUGAUUCUAAUUGAUUUUGGAGCAUGUGAUUACUGACACAAUAGAAAGGAAAGCAAAGCACAGUGUUUUCUGUGCAAGCUGUCAGAUGCAUUCCAAUUUCUGUAACAAUGGUAAUUAAUCUUAGCUGGGUAGAAAAUUCAUUUUCUUUGAGGAAUCAGUGAACUAUAGAGAAAUUUGUCAGUAACCAUUGUUUGGGAUUUUAGUUGCCGUGUAGGAGGCACAAUAAUUUUACACUGACAGCUAAUAUAUCGAGAAACCAACCCAAAAUGGAGAAAGUGAUUUGGCAUUAUUGUGUAUUUCUGGAAAUGUGUGAUAAUGGGGCUGAAAUCAAAUAAAACAGUAAGCAGCCUGAUAUCAAAGCUUUACUUUUUUCUCCUCUAUUUUGUCAGCACUAAAAUGCAGUAUAAAAACAGAAAUGUAAAGAGAUGAGUGUGGUGUUCAAACGUUUUACAAUUAUCAAACAUAUUUAAGAGCAAGACCUUUGGGGUUUGAGGAAAACAUUAUUUAAUGGAAGUGUCAGGAGUAUGACCCAUAUUUCAGUUACUCUGUAAUUCACCUGUAAAUUUUCUGUGGUUUAGUGUUCUGUUAUCAGUAUUUUUGUCUGCUCAUAACUGAACUCAAAUAGAUUACUUUCACAUUUGUGGGUGUGUGUCACUAGUUUUAUGUUUUCUAGUUUUAUGAUGCAUUAUUGUAGUUGAACUCUGGUACUGGUUUUAGUUAGUCUAUCAAAGCAACGGGGAAUGUAUGACAAGUCAAAUCCGUAUAAAAUAAGGAUAUAACAGAAUGUUUCAUACUGUUUUUAUAUACACUGAUGAAGCUAUUCAUCUACUUUGAAAAAGUUUCUCAGUUCUGGUGGUAGAUUUGCACUAUUCCAUUCACACUUUGCCUCACGUCCCUGCCAAGGGGCAGAGAUAUUAUUCCUCUUUGUGAUAUCAUGGUCCAGCAUAUGUAAGCACAUUUUGCAGUCAUAUCAGUCAUUUUUGGGUGACAAGGGUAUCAGUUUCCAGCAAGCUUCUUUGUGGGGGCAAAGAGAACAUGAGGGAUCCAGGCUUUCUUUCCCUACUGAACCUUGCUUGUAAGUUUCCGCAAUACAAAGCCUUUGCCUUCCACUAUUUCAUGUGACGAUUUGUAAUUCUUUCUGAACCCUGGAGCUUAACAGGGAGUUGAUCACAAAGGGACUCACCCUGCAUGACAAUUCACUUUCAAAUGACCCAUUAAGGGAAGAAAAUUAAUAUUGCUAGCAAGAAUGUCAGUGCGGCAAUUUUUGUCUAUUUUAUUUAUUGCUUUAUCUCGAGCACCUAGAACAGUACCUGAUAUAGUAGUAGAAGCCAAUAAAUGUCUGUUCAAGAAGUGAAAAGAAAUUAGUAGGGGACAGAGACCAAGAUAUUUAGGUGACUUCUCACGCCAGCUAAAGAAACCCUGAGUAGCUUCCUUUUCUUUAGUUUCCCUGGCAGAAGACUACUGCCUAGAUAGAAAGGGUUCCUUAUCAGUUCUAAAGAUAAAAUGUGCUUUAUGCUUUCUGUCAUCUUCCAUUUAUCUAAAUCCCUUCCUCUAUUCCAAUCUAUCCAUUAGGGUUCAGAUCAAGUUCCAAAGCCAACAUAAGAUCUUUUAUAAUUACCCUUCUCUCAUGAUCUCCUUAUCCAAACACUCGGGAUCCCUUAUGAUUACUCUCUUACUAGAACACAUGUGGCCAGGUAUGUCUGUGGAGUCAUACAAAGCUUGAUAUUCCUGUCAUGCAAAUGGGCGGAGAUGUUCAGUGAAAAAUUCUAUAUAUGUAGCAGAGUUCAUGAGGGAGAACUGAGCUGGAGAUACAAAUGUGGAAGUCAUUAAUAUAUGGGUAGUUAUGAAAGUCACAGAGGAUGAGAUUACUCAGGGAGAAAGUCUAGAAUGAGAUGAGUCAAGAGUAAAGUAGCACUUUUCAAACCUGACUGUGCAGAUAGAUCACCUGGGUAUCUUGUUAAAUUGCAGAUUUUGAUCCAGAAGUUCCGGAGUGAGGCCUAGGAUUCUGAAUUUGCAUCAUGCUCCCAGAUGGUGAAGCUACUUUUGCUUAUUUACAGUCCACACUUGGAAAACCAAGGAGGUAGAUGAUUGAAACUUGAGUAACAAUGCCAUUUAAAUAAUAGGCAAAAGGAAAAAAGCUGCAAAGAGAAUGCUAAAAAGUGGCAGAGAUGGAAGAAGUCAAGAGAGAUAUUGGUGUCAUAGAGUCAAUUGUGGGAAGAUUUUCAAGACAGAGGAUGUGCCCAACUCUGUCAGAUACUGCUGAGAAACAGAAAGUUAAAGAUGGAACGGGCUCUUCUGGAUUUUUCAGAAGGAAGUAUCUGAUUAUUUUAGGGCAGUUUUAAUGGAGUAAGGAGGAUAGAUUGCUUCAAUGAAAAAUGCAGAGAAAGCAAGCAGUAGCAAUAAGUGGAUGUGGAUAACUUUCAAGCAAGAGAAAUUUGAGCGUGUUUAUAUGCUGAAGAGAAAGAGAAAGCAGAGAAGAAAAGAAAAGAUUGUAGCUGAAUUCACCAUCUACUUUUUGUUUGCUACCUUUUGGAGGAGCAGUUGAAGCAAUUUGGAACAGCAAUCCAAGGAGCAUCCUUGCAUUAACUGGUGCAUAUUUGUCAGAAGUCAUCUGAAUUGGCAACCUGCCAGUUAUGCAAAAGCUAAAAACCUGACCCAAACAAUGAAACUAGCUUUUUUUUUUUCCCCUGUAUGCUGAGCUGAUUCACUUUGAUUGAAAAUGGAUUUCUCCUAACAUUCAUAUAGUAAGCCAAAAGCAGGAUUCUGACUGGUCCUGCUUAGGUCACAUGCACAUUCCUGAAUACUACUGGGGUCAGUAGUAUGUGGCACUUGACUGACUCAGUUUGGGUCAUCUGCCAACCCUGUGGCUAGUGGAAAGUUUGUUACCAAAAAGAACAGAGGAAAAUGUGUAUACUGAGCAGAUGAAAAUAGUGGUUACUGCAGGCUACUCUAACCAGCAUGAAGUCUUCAAGCCUGAGCCUCUUAGUUCAGGGGAAGAUUGAGCUCUCUUUCUCUCUCUCUCUCUUUCUCUCUCUCCUUCUCAUUUGGUUUGGAUGUCUGAGUUCAAGUAGUUUGGGAUCAGUCACACAAAUAUGUGCAUCUGAGAGGGACAAAUCAUCCUGAAUCGUAGACUAGACAACCGGAAAAUAAACCACUUAUACCUUUCCUGAA
Chlorocebus sabaeus (green monkey) is the source of this 4284-nucleotide long non-coding RNA. RefSeq lists it as uncharacterized. The record is from RefSeq and is a predicted model, not a curated record. Lineage: Eukaryota; Metazoa; Chordata; Mammalia; Primates; Cercopithecidae.